GAGAGAGAGAGAGAGAGAGAAGGAGAGGGUUCUGUGCUUAUUUUUAAUGCCCUCUCCAUUUAGUUAGAGAUCAUUUUCAAUACAAAACCACACAGAGAAUCUGUAGAGAUAGAGACAGAGAGAGAAGAGAAAAUGUCUUGAAUUUUUCUUUUAUUCUGUUCUAAUUCUUUUAUUAAAUUUUCUCUGAAUUCUCCGAUCUUUGUUUUGCAAUUCUCAAGGAAAACCAGAGCAGAUAAUUAUUUGUUUCUCUGUACAUACUUUGUAGAUUUUUUUUUUUUAAUCUGAAGAUCGUUUCUUUGAGGUGAGUAAAUCGAAUUCCUUGUGGAAUUCAGUUUGAUUGUAUUUAUUUUGGAUUUUUUUUUUCUGUUUUGUUUUGUUCUGAAUUGUGAUCGAGCUAAUUGAGAUCGAUCAUUUGGUGGGAAGAGGAGUUUGACUUGUAGAGAAAUGUUUUGCUGAAUUGGGAACUGAGGUCGGGAUCUGAUCGUCGAAGUUGUUUUUUGGUUGGUUGCAUGGAAAUCGUAUUUGAGUGGGGGUCUGAAUUCUCUAGAAUUCUACGGCAUGGUUAUGAUUUGGAGUUAAUUCGUUUUUAUCUGGGCUGAUUUGGGGUUUAAGGGAUUUAGAUGACUAUAUUUUUUAUGGUUCAUAGAGAAAAUUGCUAAUGAAUUUGAAGGACUUUUAAAUUCAUCGAAUUUUGUUAAAUUGAGUGUGUAGAUUGGGAUUAUGGAAGUUGAAAUCCAAUUCUAGUUCCAUGAUCAUGUGGAGCAAAAGCCAAAUCCUGAAUUUGAAAGUAGCACCUUCAAUUUUAAUUCCUGAAACACUGUUCCGGAUGAAUUAUUGCUGUCUUAGUUGGAUCGAUCGCGGCUGUGAACUUUCGAUUGAUCUCUGUUCGGAGUUUUAGGAUCUCAAAGUUAAUAUGUUUAUUCCAGUGGAAAUUAGUUUUUAUUUUUGCAGAUUUUUUCAUUCCAGUGACAAUUUUCUUAGAACAAUUUAGCGUGAACAGAUGUUUCUUUGAUUCUUUUUGUUGAUCAUCUGGUUUCUUAUGUUAUCCUAUUAGAUCACCGUCGAUGAGUUUUUCUAGAAUAUUUUAGGGUUAUUCUGCUUCUUAUCGGGCCAUGAUAUAUGAAUCUCUGUUUUGGGUGGUGGUUGGUGGGUCAGCUAUGAUAAUUAUUCAUUUAAGGGCCCUAAAUUUUCAUGGUGCAUGUGAAUUUGAUUAGUUGACAAUGUUAUUUGUUUUUGUGAUCUCUCAAAAGCAAAUUCAGGUUACCAUAUUAUAGCAUAUGGUUGCUUUGUUUCUUAUUUUUCCUUCUUGAUGAGAUCGUUGCUUUUUCACUCUUAUAGAAUUAUACCUUGCUGUUCAAUUGAAGUAGUCAAAUUGCAUCUAUAAUCAGCUGAUUUAGUUAUUUAUCUCAUGUGGAUUUGAUGACAGUGAAGGAAUGUGGGCAGUGUAAUUGUCAUGUAUGCUUAAGAUAUGAUGGUGAAGAAGAGGCAAGAUUAUGGUUUCAGUGGCUUCUAUGUUCCCUUCAUACCUAGGGCACCUAGAUCAGCUAGACGGAGGGGUCUGCAUAAAAAGAAAGUUGAUGAUACUCAAAUUUGUGCAUUUGAAUUACUGGCUUCUUUAGCUGGAAAACUAUUGCAGGAGAGUGAAAGUUCUGCUUCUAGUAGUGCAUCUGAAACAAAUGAUCAGCCUGCAAUUGGUGAUGAUGUUAUUAAACAGGAGCGAGAUGAAAAAAAACUGCUGAAAACUGAGUGCCUUGAUCAGGGAAGCUGUGAAGAAAGUGUUUUUAUCCCUAAGUUUGCCCUAUCAAACAGUGAUAAAAAGUGCAUUCUGAAGGAAUCCAGACAUGCUGAAAGUGAUUCCAUUCUGGAGCACUCAAUAAUCACAAAUUCAGAUUCCUCAGUGAAAAUUAGCAGUGAUGUGAAGUCUAUGAUUUGCAAAAGCAAGACUUCAAGUGAUAAUUUCCCUUGUAAAAUAGAGGGAGGCUCUCCUCAUGCUAGGGAAUAUAGUGGUGAUAUGGAAAAUGGAUUCAGCAGACAUCUAGAAGCUGAUGCUCUGGAGACCGGAGGCUUGACUAUUGAUAACACAUCCAAUUUAAAGGAUCCCAUGGACUUGUGUAUGAAAUUUCCUGCACUAAUCAAUUCAGAGAAUGAUGUCAAAUUGCCAUCAUGCAGGGAUCCUGUUCCUAAAGCCUCCAAUUUAAGGCUUAUGAAUGAUAGUAAAUUAGGUAUCAGAGAUGAUGACGAUAACUUUUCUAGGUGUAAUAAGCCUGGCACCAAGCCAAGGGCAUUUAGGCAGCCAUCCCGAAUUGGGGAUCGAAGAAUAAGAAAAUUACUGACAUCUAAAUACUGGAAAGUAGCUCCA
Molecule: unclassified non-coding RNA, 2359 nt
Filed under: Hevea brasiliensis (rubber tree)
Lineage: Eukaryota; Viridiplantae; Streptophyta; Magnoliopsida; Malpighiales; Euphorbiaceae
Source: RNAcentral